CGACUUUCGAACGCAUAUUGCAGCCUUGGUCAUACCUUGGCUUCGUUUGUCUGAGCGUCGUUUGAAAUGAAAGCCACAAACUAUAUGCAAGACUCGUUCAUCGUGUUGAAUUUGUUUUUAACUCGUCGAGUCGCAUUAAUGUUUGCCAAAAAGGAGACUUUUAAAUAAGUUGUCCGUGGUAUGUACAAACGUGCAUUACAGAUCGGACAAUUGAACAUUAUGUAUGUUCACUUAUUGAGAAAAACUCCAAUAACAAACAACAAAAUCAAAAUUUUGUCAAAUUCGACCUCAGAUCAAGCGAGAUUACCCCCUGAAUUUAAGC
Molecule: ribosomal RNA, 322 nt
Filed under: Blomia tropicalis
Lineage: Eukaryota; Metazoa; Arthropoda; Arachnida; Sarcoptiformes; Echimyopodidae
Description: eukaryotic LSU rRNA
Source: RNAcentral